GUAAAGAGCUCGUAGGCGGUUUGUCGCGUCUGCUGUGAAAACCCGAGGCUCAACCUCGGGCCUGCAGUGGGUACGGGCAGACUAGAGUGCGGUAGGGGAGAUUGGAAUUCCUGGUGUAGCGGUGGAAUGCGCAGAUAUCAGGAGGAACACCAAUGGCGAAGGCAGAUCUCUGGGCCGUAACUGACGCUGAGGAGCGAAAGCAUGGGGAGCGAACAGGAUUAGAUACCCUGGUAGUCCAUGCCGUAAACGUUGGGAACUAGAUGUGGGGACCAUUCCACGGUCUCCGUGUCGCAGCUAACGCAUUAAGUUCCCCGCCUGGGGAGUACGGCCGCAAGGCUAAAACUCAAAGGAAUUGACGGGGGCCCGCACAAGCGGCGGAGCAUGCGG
This 387-nucleotide ribosomal RNA is filed under the name uncultured bacterium. RNAcentral describes it as "bacterial SSU rRNA". It matches the Rfam family "Bacterial small subunit ribosomal RNA", at positions 560 to 944 of the family's 1533-position model. The record is from RNAcentral.